Molecule: ribosomal RNA, 235 nt
Filed under: uncultured bacterium
Lineage: Bacteria
Also listed under: 1 other name
Description: partial 16S ribosomal RNA
Rfam family: Bacterial small subunit ribosomal RNA
Source: RNAcentral
UGGCGGACGGGUGAGUAAUGUCUGGGAAACUGCCUGAUGGAGGGGGAUAACUACUGGAAACGGUAGCUAAUACCGCAUAACGUCGCAAGACCAAAGAGGGGGACCUUCGGGCCUCUUGCCAUCGGAUGUGCCCAGAUGGGAUUAGCUAGUAGGUGGGGUAACGGCUCACCUAGGCGACGAUCCCUAGCCGGUCUGAGAGGAUGACCAGCCACACUGGAACUGAGACACGGUCCAG